CGGGGCGGCCUCUGCCAGGCAGGGACGGACACGAGCCGGCCCUGCUGAGCGCGGCGACAAGGACGCGGACGCACGGAGCGGGACUUCGCCGGGGCCUUGGCUGCUCACUGCACGAUGUCGCAGAUCGUCCGGGCCUUCGCUUCCUUCGGUGGACUCCGCCGCUCAGCGGAGGCUGUCCGAAGGUCCGGUCUAAAGGCGAGGAGGAAAGGUUGUGAGGGGCUUUCCCCAGUGACAAGCGCAAGGUCAGGAAGGGACGCGUUCAGAGAACCCAGAGGGAGAGCAAGGCAAACCUCACAGCGACUGCUACAAAACCAGUGGUACAGAGAGGGACUUCACUGCCAGAAAUGUCUCACAGUCCAGCGAUCCAGAUUCACAGCAUUAGCUGCGAGGCUGUCUUUUAAUUAAAAGCAAUCAUUUAAAACAA
Meleagris gallopavo (turkey) is the source of this 424-nucleotide non-coding RNA. The record is from RefSeq and is a predicted model, not a curated record. NCBI's taxonomy places the organism in Eukaryota, Metazoa, Chordata, Aves, Galliformes, Phasianidae.